CCAGUCAGGGAACAAGGAGGAGAAGAAGAUGGGUUAGAAGAUCCUGAGAAGAAAGAUCCGCGCAGGGAAAAACUGCAACAAGAGGAAGAUGGAGGAUCAGCUGCAGCACAGAAAUAUCAGUGGAGUUUGAAGGGGCCUAAAAACCAACCCUGGUCACAAGUCCUCAACAGCUGCGCUAAUAAGAGACCACGAGUGGGUGGAAACCUGAACACCUUCUUUUAGAGGUUUGACCAGCCAUCCACCCCUCCCCCAGCCCAGCCCAUCCUGCUGCAACCACUGCCGUUAACACCUCCUGCUGACUGCAUGACCCCCGCUCUAACGACUCUCCCUGUUGUACACUCACACCUCCCUGUACACCCUCUGCUCCCCCUCUUGAGUGGACUACACCCCUCAGUAAAGUCACCCUGUGCCAGCCUGUCCUUCUCCAUGCCCCAGGUACAAAGGGAACUGAAAAGGCUAAAGGUCAGAAAGUCUCCAGGUCCAGAGGGCAUCAGCUCCAGGCUCCUCAGAUCCUGCGCAGACCAGCUGUGUGGGAUUACACAGCACCUCUACACCAUAACACUGCAGCUGGGGAGGGUACCACAGCUGUGGAAGACCUCCUGCGUGGUACCAGUGCCAAAGAUCGCGGGGGAGAAGGGCCUUGGUCAGGGAGGUGACCAAGAACCCGAUGGGCACUCUGGCAGUGCCAAAGAUCUCUCAACCCAAGGACCUCAACCACUACAGGCUGUUGGAACUGACAUUGCACCUGGUGAAGACCCUGGAGAUAUUGGUCUUGUGUCAUCUGUGCCCCCUGGUGAGCUCAUCAAUGGACCCAAGGCAGCUCAUGACUAUGUGUCUUACAAUUUUGUCUGCAGGCUAAGCUAUCAUCGCUCAUCGACAAUGUUUCCCACCCCCUGUAGAGCAGCUCCUUCGGUGACGGGCUUCUUCCUCUGCACUGUGUGACAGAGAGAAACCACAAGUCCUUUCUUCCUGCUGCUUCCUGACUGUUUGACCAGGUCUUCUCCCUGUAAUAUUUUAUUGGGCACAACUUAUAUACAAUAACUUGCUACCCCAAUGUGCAAUAUUGACAAACUAGAUAUUAAUUACAGUUGCAAAUGUCUACUUUUUUCUCAGGUGUAAUAACUCAAAUAAUGUGCAAUUCUUCUCUGUUGAAUUAAUAGAACUGUUUUAGUUUUGUUGUUGUUGCGGUUUUUUACUUUUUUUUCUCUUUUUGUAUAUAACAAUUUCUGUUUAGGUCUAAGAUAACUUUAUAUAAUUACCUGUGCACUUUGUGCAUGAUGAGUUUACUUGUUCUUCUUUGUUUGCUGUGCUGAUCCUUUGCUGCUGUUAUUACAAUACAUUUCCACACCCUGGGAUAAACCUAGGUUUAUCUUAUCUUAUCUUAUCAUAAAACUUAUUGUAAGACAUUUAACCAAUAUAUUCACGACUGUUAUGGCAGCAGUGCAUGAGUGAUGGACUGAAAUUGAAUUGAACUUCCUUAAGGAGAUAAUUCACUCGUUUGUUAGACCCUGAAUGUGAGCUGGGGGUAUUCCAUGAAGCUGGCUUAGCUCAAAGCUUGGCUUAUUUCAGUUAGCUUGGCUAAUUUUAGUGAGAGUUCAGUUCCACAAAUGAGGCUUAGGUCUAGCGUGGCUUGGUAACCAUGGUAACUCAGCCAGCGCAACAGGCCUGGUCCCAGGCAGGCUUACGGUCAAGCUGACCUUAGCUACUUCUCAGAGAAGUUCCGACGGGCUUCCAGAAGACGCUUUGUGAGCCGCAUGUCACACAGUAAUUUCAUCUUUAUCUGUCAUAGACGAUGCUCUUGUUCGGAAAAAUAAAUUGGGAGCUUUUUAAAACAACAUAGGAAUACGUGAAUCCGGACAUGCCCAAUACUACGCCAACCUCAAAGAGAAAGAGAAAUAUUCAGUAGCUGAGUGGGUAAAGAGAAGUGCUGGUAAAAUGUGUUUUUCACUGCUCUGUGGGUUCGAUCCCGUCAGCGGUAAUUAUUUGGAAAUAUCUGAUUUUCUUUCUUUUAUUUCUUUCUGUGACUCUCAAUGUACUGUCAACACAUAACAGAAUAAAGGCACGAAUGAUCUCAUCCAAAACACUGAAGGCGACAACAGCAACAAUUUGCCAUUAAAAAAACCUUCCUUUCACCAGUGGUCCAUUCUGAUUAUGAUGAUGAUAAUGUAAAGGUGAUGGCAAACGACGACAUGACUACUCUGUGUACAAGCUCAUUUGUGUCUUCUCCCUUAUUUAAAUGAAGGGCGCUGUGCCACCAUCAUCCCUAAUUAAAAAGAAAGACAUCUCCAGGUACAUGUUUUUCUUCACUUUUUGUCUAAGUUUGCCUACUUUGGUUUUAGGUCUCACCUGUAGCUGCUAUACUAAUCCAUUAUGGAUGUCUAUUUGUCAAAUCAAGAACAUGAAUUAUGCCUAAAGUACAGAAGCGGUUCUAGGCACAGGCGAACCGGGCAGCCGCCCGGGGCGGCAUUUGUGUCAUGAGUCAUGGGGGGCGGCACGAGCACUUCCAAAAAAUAAAGAAAAAAAUAAUAAUAAUAAUAAAUGUGCACCGCAAAGCAGUUUUGUAUUAACUCUUGUCAAAUUGGCGCCCCCGCUGUUGUAUGGCCCAGCCAGGCUAGCUGUAGGCACCCCUGCUUGCUGCGAAGGUGCUGCACAGAGGCUGACAGACUGUAUGAGUGAGCUGCACAGACACGAGAUGAAAAGUUUUUAAAAAAAAGUGUUUACAGUACAUACGCAGAAGUGAGGAAUAAAAUUAGACAGCCAAGCAGGCUGACUGCAUCGAGACAUGCGUCAGUUGUAAAAUAUUUGUCGGCUAUAACUUAAGAAAUUUAAACGGUCCACGAUACUUAACCACGCCAUCUCCCUGGCUUUCACAAGGGCAACAGUGUUGCCCUUCUUCUGAAUUUUUCCCUUGUAUUCUCCAUUCAACUCCAUGAGGAGUGUUUGCUCCCCCGCUGAGAAAAACUCCGCUCUGCCCUUUUUUUCCCCAUGAUCUCGUCAGUUCGACAACCGAUACGUCGAGGCUUUUUAUGCACCGCGGAAGCGCGCAGAGCCGCGGCUUGGAUCAUCCUGGCUAGAAUAAGCGUCUCUGAAAAACAGCUGAGCCUCGUUAGUGGAACGAGUCGCAGCUACGAUUAAAGUGGCCACUUAUUCAAGCCACGCUUACCGGCGAUAGCCCGGCCUUCUUUAGCCAGCUUUGUGGAAUACACCCCUGGCCUAGGGGAACGAGGGCCGCACACAAUGGAGUGCCCCACUCUUCCCACUCCCAAGAAAACCAGCCAAAGACCACAGAGUGGCAGUUUUAAUAACUUAAGAGGUGAGCAGUGCCAAAACAAUGAACAAAACAGCUAAACCAAGGUCCCUAGCUUCCCUGUAAUAAAAUAAAUCUAAAACAUAAGGCAGCAGAUAACCUAACUCAUAACCAAAAACAGGAGAAAACUGGACUGCAGCCUAAUUAUGUCAAGUGGUUCCGCCUGUGCCUGAGUGGUCAGUGUGGAGCUCCUGAGGGUGUUUUAAAAGGUGAAGCCAACCAUUUUGCCUGAUGUGUGUGGAGCUGGUAACAGCCUGUUGUGAGGCUGGAGUUUACUUUCUGGGUUAGACAUUUUGUUCAGUUGUUUUUGUUGAUUUAAUGCACUUUUUUGUGAUCAAUAAAAUUACCAUUAGAGUGAGACCAGACUGCUGACCUGGGGCCUAUUCUACAAAGCAAGUUCGACCUAGCGAGGUAGUCUUGGAGCUACCUCGCUCAACUUAGCGUGGUAGCCAGCAGUCUCGCUAAACGGUCUUACAAUGCUGGUUAUCAACCUCGUAAGUGGAUCCAGCUUUGCUAUGAGCGCAUGCACGCAUGUAAGGCAGAGCCCACCGCAUCUGACCAAUCGCAAACAUGGACCAGUCUGGAGCGUCAGAGCAGGCCGCAGAGCGGACUUUACAAACGAGGAGCAGGAGACGAUCAUAAGAAAGUAUGAAGAAUUCAAAUCUAUCAUAAACCUUAAAAGCAACACCACCGCCGCUGCAAAACCACGGAAGGAAUGCUGGCAGAAAAUUGCAGACAGUCUCAAUGCAUAAAUAUAGUGCGCAAAAAAUCUUUGAUGCCAUUAUCCCCCUGAAAUAGCACUGUUCAACAUGUGCUUUUAACAUGCACCAGACAGGUCCAAUUCAUUUCCAAGAUGAAUUUAUUCAUUUGUUCAUUCCUAUCAUGUUUACAUUUUUUGUGUGAUAUGUCGGCCAUAUGAGCCUUUCAUAAAGGUGGUCAUCCAGAAAAGUAAGUGAGUCCCUGCGGUCCCUGAAAACUCUCGCGUGCCGGAGUGCUCCUCGGACAAUGCGAGCACCGAGGUCUAUAGGAUCCUCCAAGAACGGAUUAGCCAUUUUUCGAGAAAGCUCAUUGGUCAGUGGGCGGGGUUUUUAUACUCAGUGAGUUCAAUCUGGAACCUAACCUGCCCCGGAGCAGGUUAGCCAUUCAGCGUAUGUUGCAAUGGAGACUCACCUCGCUAAGAAGUGAACCCACAUCUUAGAACAGGAAACCCUGAACUUACCCUCGAAGUUACCUCGCUAAGCAGUAAUCCUGCUUCGUAGAACAGGCCUCUGGCUGUUGUUUUUACACUCUUGUGCUCCAUCUCGUGGCUAAGAAGGACACAAAGAUCCCUUUUUGAGUAGUUUUACCAGAGGUAAUUUUGCUGGCCAAUUUGUAAAAUGCUAGACUGCCACAGUCACUGACCUAGAGCAAAUACAUUACACUGAAUGCUGGCAAGUUGGAAAUGGCAAGAGCAAGAGGUGAAGGUUGGCAUCAGGUGGUGGGUAAAACUCCUCAACCAAGCCAAUCAGCCUGCAGCAACCCGGUCACAUGAACAAUAAGCAGCACACACACACACACACACACACACGCACACACUGAGGCACGCACACACACACACUGAUUGCCACUGCAGAGGAGGGAAGGAGAGAGAGAGCUGCCAAUUUAGAAAUCAAACAACCAAAACAUAAAUGACCACACUCAUAUUAAGUGUUGGCUAAGGGGGACUUCAUGUGGAAAGAAUGAAAGGCUUGUCUCAACUGAAAAGUAAGAAGAGGAUGUUUCUCAGUACAAAAGUAACUGAAUUCCCCUCUGUGGUCAGGUGUGGGCAGUUAAAAAGGUCGAUUUCACAGCACUCUGCCAUCAUGAGUGAAAACAUGUGAAAAUGUUUGAAAGAAUCGAACCCCCCACCCACCCACACCCCAGUGUAACUUCACAGGAAACUCACAAAAACAUUGAUUGGGAAGUAAAACACAGACACACCAUAUUAGCUGGGUUUACUGUGCAUAACACACACACACACUAGGACACACACUAUCACACAUGGUGUAGGCCAAACAGGAUGUGGUUUCUCUGUGUGCCUCUUAGUCACACAGGAAAACAUCUUUCAGUUGAUGUUCAUGUUUCCAGGUAGAGCUGCAGAGAGACACUAAAAACAAAGAAGUGGGAGCUUCAGUUAAGCUAAAAAAUAUGACAUGUAACACGCUUAUAGUUUCAGGAAUGCAAAAUGCACAGUCAGUAUCAUGUAUUCAUUUUCUGGUCAGAAAGAAGCUUUUUUCAUGUCUGCUUUAGAAGGAAAGAUGGUUGUAAACUGUGAAACUUGUCUCAUCUGUCAUGUAUGAGCUCCAAAUUCAAAUAAUGAUCACCCUUCUUCUCUGUUAAGCUCUUUGUGUACUCUGUGUGUGUAUAGAAUUGUCAGGAUUAAAGAGAACAGUGCAGUUCUGAGCAGCAGAGUGAAGAGGCUGACAGUUAGCAGUAAUGACAGUCACAAUAAAAGAAAAAACUAGAAAAAUCUGCCAAAAGGUGGUCGGUGAUGUAUCUCACAACAAGUCUCAUGUUGUAGUUGUUCUGAACAUAUGGCUGCGGUGUAAUCUUCAAGAUCUCUGUGCCAGACAGUAAUUGAAGGAAAUUCAUGUUAGGCAUACUUUAUUGUUGUAUUAAACAACAAUUUUCUUUAUAAAAUAACUAGUUUUAAAAUAUUUAGCUUUAUCCUACAAAAUUCCAGUCUAAAGAUAUAAAGUGCUCCUGUGCCAGUAAUGUUACAUAAUGGUGUUUUUAAAAAGAUAAAACUUGAUUUUUGAAAUUUAUAGACUUUAAUCCUGUUAAUCUACAAUAUUUUCCUUCAGUAUCUCCUCACAAAAAAUGAACUUAUUACAUGAAAUCAUUUUCCUUUUUCAUCCCUUGUAGUCUGAGGUGAAUGGAGCGCAAAUGUUUUCAGACAUAUUUCAUCAUAUAUCAGACAUAUUACCAUCAUCAUAUAAUAAUGCAUAUAAUAAUGACAUAAUUUGAUAAAGAAAACAAUAACAUUAUUUACCUGCUGUCAUACUUUGACCAGAGACCAUAAGAAAAGAAAUACAAAAAAGGGCUGAAUUAUGGUGUUAAAUUAUGAGUAUUAGGUUAAGAGUAGAAGAGCUGACCGCCAUAUUUUCAAGUGAACUUUUUUUUUUUAAAGACAAGGUGCUCUGAUUGCUGUGUAAGCAGAUGUGAGAAAUGCUGCUUUAAAGCUAUGAUGAGGAUGUGAGAGACUGGAAUAAGACUUAAAGGGAAGAGAAAGAUGGAUGAGGGCAGUAAAAGUGAGAACAGUGGGAGGUUUCAGUGCCGUCAUUUUUCCAGAAAAGUUCCCACAACCUUCACCCGAACCAUAGUAUAUAUUUUUUUAAAUCAGAUAUAGACAUUUUGAAGAGCAGUACACUGAGUGUCCACUAGAGGCCGUGUCCUGCAGGGAGUCAGUCCCAUAGACUGUAUAUACUACGGUCAACUUGGUUCCACCUUCCGCCAGUAUACAGAUUUGAAGCCGAAAAGCUCUCGGUAAUUCCCGCUUUUUCUCCACUUCCUGAAACUAACAUUGCGCAGUAGUGUUGUACGCACUCCACCACUUGCGCAGUAACAUUGUACGCAUUUGGCAGGUGAGUCACCGAGAAUCGCUGUGAUGACGCUCUGCUCAAACAGCGUAUUCCUCUGGGUGAGCUACACCAAUAGGCUGUAUCCAGUGUCAAUCAUAAAAAUCAUGAAUCCCCUAAUAACUUUUAAAAAUGGAGCUGUACAGAAAAAAAGGACUUGAGCACAAAACAAUCUCACAGUAACUACAUGUCAACAUCGCAAGCACGGGGAAAAAAAUUAUGUUCUGUGUAAUUAAUUUCUAAAGUUUGUCCAAAGCCCCCUUAAGGAUGGCUGGAGGAGGCGGGAUUAAUGAUCUAUACUGCAGCCAGUCACCAGAGUGUGCUGUUCUCAGGAUGGCUUCACUCAGCCAGGAGGCAGACGGUGUCCAUUCUAUAUACAGUCUGUGGUUAGUCCCCAUCGAGCCCAAUGCUGAAAUGCCCAACUCUACAGCAGAAAUGAACAUGUUUACAGAAACAAUACAGUUAAGGUAUCUGUAGCUUAUUUCUCAAUGCACUACAUUUUUACUUAACUCAUUUGUUUGGAUUCUUGUUUCCCAGCUAAUUGAAAGACUUAUGACCAUAUAUUUUAUAACAACUACACUUCAAGCAAGACAUCAAAAAUAAAAAUAUUCAAAAGACCCUUUCUGCCAUCAAAAGAUCAAAAAUUGAGAAAAAAAUUACAUACAUUGUUGGAAACCCUGCCCCUCUGCUCCUCCUGAGUGGAGCAGCAGCCACACCUGUGCUGGCUGGAGAGCUGGACAGGUGUGAUGAUUGGUGCUCUACUAGAUUGAGCAGAGCACUGAGCUCUGUUUCACUAACAGACUAUGGACAAUGAUGACCUGUUUGCUGCUGAAGAGUGUCAGAAUGUGAGUUUUGUUCAAUUUGAGACCUUUUUUGCAUCUUUGUUGACUUCGGAUUAAUUUAACCUUAAAUUCAAUAAUGAAAUAUUUUAAACUGUUUGAAGGAUGUUUUAUUUGCCAUGAAUGCACAUUUUGUUAUUAUUUCUUGGUUUUUACUCCAGAAACACCACUUUGCAGCAUACCAUACCAAUCUGUCAAAUAAACCCUUUAAACUGGAUCCUGCUGUCUUCUGCGAGCUCAUUUGUCACCUCACCUCAUGCUCAAUUUUGAUCUCAGCCCUUAAACUAAUCCAACAUACAUUGUUAAGAGAAAAAGAAGCAAGACAGUCAAUGCUCUAAAAAUUAGUUAUAGUGAUAGAUUUGAAGUUUGUUGCAACAAAUAUGUAUUUAUUUUUCGAGAAAAAACACAAAUGUAACGUGUUUGAAAAAGUAAUUAUUCAAAUUUCAGAAAUAUAAAAUAAGAUGGAUAAAAUUCGAUACUGAGGGAAAAGAAUUGGAAAAAAAAAAUUGAAUUUAAGAAAAAAAGUUUAGAUACAUUUUCAGGACAAACAUGAAAUAAAAAAAGGUUUGAAUUUUCUGUCUUGAAUAAAAUACCAAAAAAGAAAAUAUGUGAAAAAAGUAAGAUUCAUUUUUGAGGAAAAAAUGUAAAAUUAAAAAUUGAGGGGUAAAAUGGCUGAAUUCCAUUUAUUUUCUAAGAAGUUGAAAAGAAUAAGGAUUUAAACAAUUCUUUGAUGAAAAACAAUGAAAAUCUAAAAUAAAACAUUGAAGUGAUCUUUGAAAAGAAAGGCAAAACAAAGACGAGAAAGAAGUUGUGAUUUACAUUUUUGAGUGAAAGCUGCUCAGUCUUUGCGUCUGCUGUACUGUUCAUCACUGCUUGUUAAAGGUGUAGAUGAAUUACUUGUAGUUGACUUCAACAGUCAUUAUUCAUCAUCAUCUAAAGCCAGUACAGGUUGACAGACAUUACAUUAAGAGGAGGAGUGGGUGGAGUAGCAUAAAGAUAAUCUACGGCCAGCAGAACAGGAACACACACACACACACACACACACACAC
Molecule: non-coding RNA, 8791 nt
Organism: Xyrichtys novacula (pearly razorfish)
Lineage: Eukaryota; Metazoa; Chordata; Actinopteri; Labriformes; Labridae
Source: the annotation of a GenBank genome assembly